UGGCAGUGAUGACUCUCUUAGGACACCUUUGGAUUAAGCAAUGAAAAUAAUUACUACCUGAGCCAU
Molecule: small nucleolar RNA, 66 nt
Organism: Monodelphis domestica (gray short-tailed opossum)
Lineage: Eukaryota; Metazoa; Chordata; Mammalia; Didelphimorphia; Didelphidae
Rfam family: Small nucleolar RNA SNORD58
About the family: snoRNA U58 is found in introns 1, 3 and 6 of the ribosomal protein RPL17 gene in humans. U58 is a member of the C/D class of snoRNA which contain C (UGAUGA) and D (CUGA) box motifs.
Source: Rfam